AUUGAACGCUGGCGGCAUGCCUUACACAUGCAAGUCGAACGGUAACGGGUCCUUCGGGAUGCCGACGAGUGGCGAACGGGUGAGUAAUAUAUCGGAGCGUGCCCAGUAGUGGGGGAUAACUGCUCGAAAGAGCAGCUAAUACCGCAUACGACCUGAGGGUGAAAGGGGGGGAUCGCAAGACCUCUCGCUAUUGGAGCGGCCGAUAUCGGAUUAACUAGUUGGUGGGGUAAAGGCCUACCAAGGCAACGAUCUGUAGUUGGUCUGGGAGGACGGCCAGCAACACUGGGACUGAGACACGGCCCAGACUCCUACGGGAGGCAGAAGUGGGGAAUUUUGGACAAUGGGCGCCAGCCUGGUCCAGCAAUGCCGCGUGCAGGAAGAAGGCCUUGGGGUUGUAAACUGCUUUUGUCAGGGAAGAAAUCUUCUGGGCUAAUACCCCGGGAGGAUGACGGUACCUGAAGAAUAAGCACCGGCUAACUACGUGCCAGCCGCCGCCGUAA
This 500-nucleotide ribosomal RNA is filed under the name uncultured bacterium. RNAcentral describes it as "partial 16S ribosomal RNA". It matches the Rfam family "Bacterial small subunit ribosomal RNA", at positions 30 to 523 of the family's 1533-position model. The record is from RNAcentral.